ACAUGCAAGUCGAACGGCUCUUCGGAGCAGUGGCGGACGGGUGAGUAACGCGUGGGAACGUGCCCUUUGGUUCGGAACAACACAGGGAAACUUGUGCUAAUACCGGAUGUGCCCUUCGGGGGAAAGAUUUAUCGCCAUUGGAGCGGCCCGCGUUGGAUUAGGUAGUUGGUGGGGUAAUGGCCCACCAAGCCGACGAUCCAUAGCUGGUCUGAGAGGAUGAUCAGCCACACUGGGACUGAGGCACGGCCCAGACUCCUACGGGAGGCAGCAGUGGGGAAUCUUGCGCAAUGGGCGAAAGCCUGACGCAGCCAUGCCGCGUGAAUGAUGAAGGUCUUAGGAUUGUAAAAUUCUUUCACCGGGGAAGAUAAUGACGGUACCCGGAGAAGAAGCCCCGGCUAACUUCGUGCCAGCAGCCGCGGUAAUACGAAGGGGGCUAGCGUUGCUCGGAAUUACUGGGCGUAAAGGGCGCGUAGGCGGACAGUUAAGUCAGAGGUGAAAGCCCAGGGCUCAACCUUGGAAUUGCCUUUGAUACUGGCUGUCUUGAGUUCGGGAGAGGUGAGUGGAAUGCCGAGUGUAGAGGUGAAUUCGUAGAUAUUCGGCGGACACCAGUGGCGAAG
This 617-nucleotide ribosomal RNA is filed under the name uncultured Alphaproteobacteria bacterium. RNAcentral describes it as "bacterial SSU rRNA". It matches the Rfam family "Bacterial small subunit ribosomal RNA", at positions 53 to 720 of the family's 1533-position model. The record is from RNAcentral. Lineage: Bacteria; Pseudomonadati; Pseudomonadota; Alphaproteobacteria.